This 103-nucleotide transfer RNA is filed under the name archaeon. RNAcentral's name for it is "tRNA-Lys". It matches the Rfam family "tRNA". From Rfam's summary of the family: Transfer RNA (tRNA) molecules are approximately 80 nucleotides in length. The record is from RNAcentral.
GGGCCGGUAGCGCAGUCUGGCUAGCGCACUUGGCUUUUAACCAAGUGGUCGCGGGUUCAAAACAGAAAAGUUAUACUUGACUGUGAUCAUCCCGCUCGGCCCA